GUGAGGAAUAUUGGUCAAUGGGCGAGAGCCUGAACCAGCCAAGUCGCGUGAAGGAAGAAGGAUCUAUGGUUCGUAAACUUCUUUUGCAGGGGAAUAAAGUGCGGGACGUGUCCUGUUUUGUAUGUACCCUGAGAAUAAGGAUCGGCUAACUCCGUGCCAGCAGCCGCGGUAAUACGGAGGAUCCGAGCGUUAUCCGGAUUUAUUGGGUUUAAAGGGUGCGUAGGUGGUUUGAUAAGUCAGCGUUGAAAGUUUGCAGCUUAACUGUAAAAAUGCCGUUGAAACUGUCGGACUUGAGUGUAAAUGAGGUAGGCGGAAUGCGUGGUGUAGCGGUGAAAUGCAUAGAUAGCACGCAGAACUCCGAUUGCGAAGGCAGCUUACUAAGCUACAACUGACACUGAAGCACGAAAGCGUGGGGAUCAAACAGGAUUAGAUACCCGGGUAGUCC
RNAcentral lists this ribosomal RNA (445 nucleotides) under uncultured bacterium. RNAcentral describes it as "partial 16S ribosomal RNA". It matches the Rfam family "Bacterial small subunit ribosomal RNA", at positions 354 to 796 of the family's 1533-position model. The record is from RNAcentral.